AGAAAAUUUGUUUUUAGUAGUUUGAGCGAAGUUUGGUGGUUUCCUAGAGAGGAUUUAGUACUGAGAAGGAAAGUUAUAUUAUUUAUUUUGAAUAUUAGGCUUGUUAGUACCUUUUGUAUUAGGGUUGAUUUAUGUGGUUUUGCUUUUGUUAUUUCUCGAUGAGUAUCGGGCUAUUUUUCCUUGGUUUAUUCUCGUUGUAUAGAGUUGUAUAGGGGGUUAUAGGUAUGAAAUAUUAUUCAAGUUGCUUUUUAUCUAGUUCUUUAAGAAAUUUAAUAGUUGGUAGUGUUAUUAUGACGAUAAGCAGGGAUUAGCUUGUUUAUUUUUUAUAUUGGGUUGUGGUUGAAGUUUGUUUGUUAAGUUGAUAGUGCUUGUUUUAAUGGAGUUAUUAUUGAGCAGGUUAUCUUUAUUAUUUUUUGGUUUUGUUUUUGUAUUGGGGUUGGUUUGUUAAUUUUUAGUGGUCUGUAAUAAUGAUUGUAUUAGUAAUAAUUUUUAUUAGUUUACUUUUAUUUUGUUCUGAUUGAUAUUUUAGGUAGGUGUAAUUUUAAAUUAGAAUUAAUGAAUUAGGCAAUACAAACUUCUGACUGUUUAGCAAAGACAUUGUUUUUUGUUGUGGUAAAAAAUAAGUUCUGUCCACUGCUAUUAGGUGAAGGGCUGCAGUAUUUUGACUGUAUGAAGGUAGCAUAAUCAUUAGCUUCUUAAUUAGAAGCUGGUAUGAAGGUGAAACAGGGGUUUGCUGUAUUUUUUCUAUUUGUUGAAUUUUAUUUUCAUGUGAAAAAUCAUGAUUGGGUUAAUGGGACAAGAAGACCCUAAUAAGUUUUAUUCUUUUUCUUAAUGCGUGUAUAGUUUUUGAUUUAUGUAAUUUAUUUGGGGGAGUUUGGCUGGGGCGGCAGUUUAUUUAACAUAGAUUAAUUUUUAACUUUGUAUGGCGGUAUGUUGGACCUAGUUUGUUUAUAUCAGUGUAAAAUUACUGUAGGGAUAACAGCGUGAUUUUUUUUGAGAGUUCUAAUUGACAAUAAAGUUUGCGACCUCGAUGUUGGAUUAAGAAGAGC
This 1049-nucleotide ribosomal RNA is filed under the name Appalachioria sp. n PEM-2009. RNAcentral's name for it is "partial large subunit ribosomal RNA". The record is from RNAcentral. Lineage: Eukaryota; Metazoa; Arthropoda; Diplopoda; Polydesmida; Xystodesmidae.